Molecule: Y RNA, 111 nt
Filed under: Microcebus murinus (gray mouse lemur)
Lineage: Eukaryota; Metazoa; Chordata; Mammalia; Primates; Cheirogaleidae
Description: Y RNA (ENSMICG00000041843.1)
Rfam family: Y RNA
About the family: Y RNAs are components of the Ro ribonucleoprotein particle (Ro RNP), in association with Ro60 and La proteins. The Y RNAs and Ro60 and La proteins are well conserved, but the function of the Ro RNP is not known.
Source: Rfam by way of RNAcentral
GGCUGGUCCCAAGGUAGUGAGUUAUCUCACGUGAUUGUUCACAGUCAGUUACAGAUUGAACUCCUUGUUCUACUACUUUCCCCCCUCCUCACUACUGCACUUGACUAAAAA